GACAGAAAACCCAGCAUAUAUACAGGCUCUGGGAAAGAAAUGACCGCCGGAGUCGGCGGGUGCUUCUUCGGGAAUCGUCUUAGCAAUGGACAACCUUCACGAACUUAGAUCGGCACCUUCCGAGACCGGAAAAAACAGCUGUAACCCACACACGCCUUCUCCUCAUCGUCUUGCUUAAUUUUCAACAAACCCUUCUUCCCUUUUCAGAAUGUUAAAAGAAGCAACUGUGAAAACUUCCCACAGCACAUUCCUCUCUAGUAUCUCCAGUUCACAUGCUUUCUGGGCUCAUCAGCACUGUCAACACCACGCGUACUGGAACCUCCUUCAGCAGAUCGUCACAAGGCGUAUAGGUCGACAAGACAAAAGUUUAUGAGAACAUUCUACUUGGGAAUAGGCGGUUUUGGGAAAAUGGGUUGGUGACUUCGUUUUUAUCCAAAGAGACGGAUAACAUGAAUUGGACAAGAUGGCCGGAAGGCAAAAAACUUCAACAUGGUUAGAAGGAAAGAUUCAUUUUUGGAGUAUGCAAAGGACUUAGAAAAAUGGUCGUUUUUCCUGUAAUUUUUUGUAAACAAGAUUUUGCUGGGGCCAUUUCAAGAAUUAAAUUACAUUUGUCUCGGGUUAGAGGCCGUGAUAUUCAAAUUUGUCUACAAGUACUUCAGUAAGUAGCACAACAAGCACUAUAAGCUAUUGAUACUCCCACUAAGAGAGCUAAAUCAGUGACAACAUCAAAUAAUAGUCUAGUGGCCUAGUGGGAGAAAGUAUUUCAGGUUCCUCAUCAUCGCAUAUGCCAAAUUUAUGUAAGGAACAAGAUACGAGUAAAGUGGAUAAACAAUUUGCCAGGCUAUUCAUC
Alnus glutinosa is the source of this 850-nucleotide long non-coding RNA. RefSeq lists it as uncharacterized. The transcript has 5 exons. The record is from RefSeq and is a predicted model, not a curated record. Lineage: Eukaryota; Viridiplantae; Streptophyta; Magnoliopsida; Fagales; Betulaceae.